RNAcentral lists this ribosomal RNA (468 nucleotides) under uncultured bacterium. RNAcentral's name for it is "partial 16S ribosomal RNA". It matches the Rfam family "Bacterial small subunit ribosomal RNA", at positions 28 to 507 of the family's 1533-position model. The record is from RNAcentral.
GACGAACGCUGGCGGCGUGCCUAAUACAUGCAAGUCGAACGGAAAGGCCCUGCUCUUGUGGCGUGCUCGAGUGGCGAACGGGUGAGUAACACGUGAGUAACCUGUCCUUGACUUUCGGAUAACUCCAGGAAACUGGGGCUCAUACCCGAUAUGAUCUCCUGCUGCAUGUUGUGCGUUGGAAAGUUUCGGCGGUUGGGGAUGGACUCGCGGCUUACCCGCUUGUUGGUGGGGUAGUUGCUUUCCAAGUCUUUGACGGAUAGGCUGCCUGAGAGGGUGGCCGGCGACAAUGGGACUAAGAUACGGCGCAGAAGGCAACGGGAAGCAGCAGGGGAGAGUAUGACACAGUGGGCGGAAGUCAGAUACAGAGACGCCGCGAGCGGGAUAACGGGCUACGAGUGGUAAACAGAUUUCGAAUGUAAUGAGGAGUGAGUGACGGUAAUGGAUAAAGAAGCACCGGCUAACUACGUG